This 853-nucleotide ribosomal RNA is filed under the name uncultured crenarchaeote. RNAcentral's name for it is "bacterial SSU rRNA". It matches the Rfam family "Archaeal small subunit ribosomal RNA", at positions 67 to 922 of the family's 1478-position model. The record is from RNAcentral. Lineage: Archaea; Thermoproteati; Thermoproteota.
UGUAGCAUACAAGGCAUACGGCUCAGUAACGCGUAGUCAACCUAACCUAUGGACGGGAAUAACCUCGGGAAACUGAGAAUAAUGCCCGAUAGAACAUUAUGCCUGGAAUGGUUUAUGUUCCAAAUGAUUUAUCGCCGUAGGAUGGGACUGCGGCCUAUCAGUUUGUUGGUGAGGUAAUGGCCCACCAAGACUAUUACAGGUACGGGCUCUGAGAGGAGUAGCCCGGAGAUGGGUACUGAGACACGGACCCAGGCCCUAUGGGGCGCAGCAGGCGAGAAAACUUUGCAAUGUGCGAAAGCACGACAAGGUUAAUCCGAGUGGUUUCUGCUAAAGAAACCUUUUGUCAGUCCUAGAAACACUGAUGAAUAAGGGGUGGGCAAGUUCUGGUGUCAGCCGCCGCGGUAAAACCAGCACCUCAAGUGGUCAGGAUGAUUAUUGGGCCUAAAGCAUCCGUAGCCGGCUCUGUAAGUUUUCGGUUAAAUCUGUACGCUCAACGUACAGGCUGCCGGGAAUACUGCAGAGCUAGGGAGUGGGAGAGGUAGACGGUACUCGGUAGGAAGGGGUAAAAUCCUUUGAUCUAUUGAUGACCACCUGUGGCGAAGGCGGUCUACCAGAACACGUCCGACGGUGAGGGAUGAAAGCUGGGGGAGCAAACCGGAUUAGAUACCCGGGUAGUCCCAGCUGUAAACUAUGCAAACUCAGUGAUGCAUUGGCUUGUGGCCAAUGCAGUGCUGCAGGGAAGCCGUUAAGUUUGCCGCCUGGGAAGUACGUACGCAAGUAUGAAACUUAAAGGAAUUGGCGGGGGAGCACCACAAGGGGUGAAGCCUGCGGUUCAAUUGGAGUCAACGCCGGG